AAGGACGGGGGCAGCUUCAGCUUGGCCACCCCAGUCCCAUGCCACACCUGCAGACCACGGGCGCCAGGACUGGAUCCCUGCCUGUCCCCUUCUCUUGCCUCCCAGGACUUUCCACGUCCCUUCAUGUGGGCAUGCGAGCUCCCAGCUCCCUGGCCGGGCAGGGCAAGGCCCUCCUCAUGGUCUCAGGGCCCUACCUUGUGGCUGCAGAGAGGGAGGCGAGACACCAACCUCACCUUCCGUGGUAGGCGUGAUCUUGUCUUGUCCGGACGAGUACGUGCUGACUGACCUGCAGCAGUGUUUCAGACACGCCACUUACAGACGCUCCUAACGCCGCCCGCCAGAGUCACUGCACCACCUCCUCUGAUGGGCAGCAAGAUACUGGCAUGUGUUCCAGACCCUCAUUUUGCAGAUGGGAAAGGCGAGGCCCAGAAGGUCCAGUGACUUAUGCAAAGCUACCCCAUUUCCUAGCCACAGAGCUAGGACUAGAAAUGAAAUCGGCUCCUGACUGAACUGUUCGCUGAGCUCUCUGCCUUGAAGAGUCCUCAUCUGCCCCGUCUUUAUGAAACCUGAGUGUUUGUUGGAAGCAGGCACAGUAAGGAUGGUUCAAACCAGCUUGGUAGUUACUGUCAGCAGAGAUGGUGGCUGGAACCGAAACAGCUCAACAUGUUGCCAAGAUGUCUAUGAUACAAUACACAGCUUGUCAUUCAGUCCUGAACGUUACCUGCAUGAAUAACUCAUUAACUCAUGAGUCCAUUUUUAGGUCUGUGUAUGUUGCUGAUUUCUAAUUACUUGAAGUGUUAUUCUGAGAAUCUGAUCUGAAUGUGUAACUUAAAAUCUUAACAGAAAACAGACACCACGUUCCAGUGGGUGAUUGAGGAAACUUGAACAAAGAGGCUUCUUACAAACGUGUCAGCAGGGUUUCAGGAAACCAAGAAGAAAUACUUGAACUCAAAACCCAGCAAGAACAGGAAGUCAUAGCCCCUGCCGGGCCUGGAGGGUACGGAGAGGGAAGGCUGACCCCAGCCCAGGGGCAGAGGAGUCGUAGGAGAGGGUCUCCUGACAGCGGCUGUGGUCUCGGCAGAGAAACUCACUCAGCUGAUAGCAACCCACGCAGAGCAAUCCAGGGAGUAAGUAUUCGGAUUCACCCAUUUCCCAGCCGAGUCUCCUGCUUAUACUUCCCGGGAAUCCGAACCAGCCAGACGCUGACAGCAAGGGGCACAGGCGACAGGCUGGCUGGAGGGCGGGCUUGGCUGGUGUGAUGAAAGUGGCCCAUGCAGUUCUUUCUGUCCCUCAGAGCGUUUGCUUAUCUAUCUGUCAUUCAAGUGAAAAUAAAUGUGUUUUCAGCACAAAGCUCCACGAGCUGCCAUUUCACUAAGUGAUAGCAGUACUUGAAAUGAAAGUAUUAGUCUCCACCGUCUUCUUAAUAAAGUCAGUGGGAGUAAAGAUGGAGAAAAUGAAAGAUGAACUAACAUAAAACUUAGCUGAUGCACCUGUCUCUGGGGUGCAUCAGGUGCCUGAGUCGGUAAGGAUAACUGUUGAUAUUUACUAUUAAUUUCCUGUUCCCUUUACGCGCUUCCUGCACCUCAGCUGGGUGGCGCCGUUUUACCAGGCAGGCUGUUUGGAACUUUGAUUUUGUUACUUUCAGAGCUCCCGGUGUCCCCAC
Molecule: long non-coding RNA, 1663 nt
Organism: Manis pentadactyla (Chinese pangolin)
Lineage: Eukaryota; Metazoa; Chordata; Mammalia; Pholidota; Manidae
Exons: 4
Source: RefSeq, a predicted model, not a curated record